CCUACGGGUGGCAGCAGUGGGGAAUAUUGGACAAUGGGGUGAACCCUGAUCCAGCGACGCCGCGUGAGUGAAGCAGUAUUUCGUUAUGUACCGCUCUAUCAGCAGGGAAGAAAAUGACGGUACCUGACUAAGAAUCCCCGGCUAACUACGUGCCAGCAGCCGCGGUAAUACGUAGGGGGCAAGCGUUCUCAGGAUUUACUGGGGGUAAAGGGAGCGUAGACGGUGCAGCAAGUCUGAUGUGAAAGGUCGGGGCCCAACCCCGGGAAUGCAUUGGAAACUGUUGAACUGGAGUACAGGAGAGGUAAGCGGAAGUCCUAGUGUAGCGGUGAAAUGCGUAGAUAUUAGGAGGAACACCAGUGGCGAAGGCGGCUUACUGGACUGUAACUGACGUGGAGGCUCGAAAGCGUGGGGAGCAAACAGGAUUAGAUACCCGGGUAGUC
Molecule: ribosomal RNA, 440 nt
Filed under: uncultured bacterium
Lineage: Bacteria
Description: partial 16S ribosomal RNA
Rfam family: Bacterial small subunit ribosomal RNA
Source: RNAcentral